CCGGGCGUGGUGAAAUUGGUAGACAUAUCAGACUUAGGAUCGACGCCGCGAGGCAUGGGGGUUCGAGUCCCUCCGCCCGGA
RNAcentral lists this transfer RNA (81 nucleotides) under Phnomibacter ginsenosidimutans. It matches the Rfam family "tRNA". From Rfam's summary of the family: Transfer RNA (tRNA) molecules are approximately 80 nucleotides in length. Their secondary structure includes four short double-helical elements and three loops (D, anti-codon, and T loops). Lineage: Bacteria; Pseudomonadati; Bacteroidota; Chitinophagia; Chitinophagales; Chitinophagaceae. The record is from Rfam by way of RNAcentral.